RNAcentral lists this long non-coding RNA (4839 nucleotides) under Ananas comosus (pineapple). RNAcentral describes it as "long non-coding RNA (ACOM_LNC007280)". Lineage: Eukaryota; Viridiplantae; Streptophyta; Magnoliopsida; Poales; Bromeliaceae. The record is from RNAcentral.
UUGCUCGUUCUCUCUUCCUCCUACUUCUUGUCAAGAUGAGCCACCCGAUGGGCUUGCCUUCUAGCAGCAGAAAUUGCUUUCCCCAGUGCCGAAGCAAACCAAGAAUGCGAGAUUUUUCCUAUAGAAGCUUCUUUCGGCUGUUUGAUUGAAGGCGAUAAUGUGGAUGAUCCAAUUGAGGAAUAAGAAGAAGAAGAAGAAUCAAUUAAGAUAGUCUGAGAAUUUACCUUGGUCGAUGUCUGAUUAAGGGCUGAACAAAAGCUUAUUCCUCUGCUGAAGUUACAGCCGAGGGAACUUUUAUGGAAGGUAGAUCCUCAGUUGGAGCAGAGAAAGGUUAGGAAUGAAUUUUUAUUGCGAAAGUCUUACGCUGUUUCAGUUGCGGCUAUCGACUUAGAGAGUGUAGCUAUCGGCCGCUUCUCUGUACGUUGGGACGAUGGGUUAGGGACAGUUGUCGGCUGGAAAAGCAUGUAUUAGUGAGUUCAGCCAAGUACGUAUUCAAAAGAAAAUAUAUUGAAAAAUAAAAUUUACCUUGGAAGUGUGGAGAAAAUCUGCUGGAUCAUAGUCUGAGUGUUCCUCAGAAUCUUCCUGUCUUUGGGAAUUAGGAGAGAUUUCUGUUCCUAUAAAAGUUACUGAAAAAAUAAUUAAAUUAGAUUAAGGGCAAAGAAGAGAAAGAGAUACAAAUCGAUUAUAAAAUAAUGUACCUUCUGCAUGACGAAUUUUGCGAAGAACAAGAGACGUCAUUUGGAAAAAGACUUGUUCAUAAAAAACAUCCCAAGCUUUUGUGAAGUGAAAGUCCAUUGCCCAUAAGUGAUUCGGCCUAAAGCUUAUGAGCUUGAAGAAACGUUGGAGAUGAUUCCCUAUGGCUGAGAGCCGAUCAGCCUUGACUGCACUUUUCGUAAGAGGACGGUUGUUGGUGGUAUUAGCCGUGAAAAAUUUAGCCAGGACUGGAAUUGCCUGAACGAACCCGAAUUGACGCGCCACAUACUGAGGAGAAUACACUUCAAUGCUGGGCGUCAACUUGGAACAGGUUUUCAAUCCAAUGUGCAAGUCUCGAGAAGCCAGUAAGGAAUACUAGACAUCGGAGUACUCACUGGUGAGACAAAUGGCCAGUUGGCCCUUGAUGGCUUCAUACCGAGUGAGAAGCCAGGAUGGACCAGUAACACAUUCUCCAAAAGAGGCCCACGUGAUGAAACGACGUUGGCUCAGUUCAUAGAAAACUUUAAAAUAUGCGGUGAAGUCAACCGGUUGGCCCGAAGACAUAGGCUAUGGACAGUUGAGGGCUAAACCAUAGGUGUCAAAGUGAGGAGCCGAGUCCAAAUCUAAAGGGGAUUGGUAUAAAAAAGGAAAGUAAAUUUGCAAACACAUUUGUAAAAACCACAAAACACCGCAAUCGGAACUAAUUACUAAGCCAUUCCCCGACUAUAGUGGUUUGAUGGAUUCAAAAAAUUUUCAAUGUACAAAAGUAAGAAAAUAUGUGCCUAAUGCUAAUUUCUCAUCGUUGGCCAAAGCAACGGCGAUCAGGACAAAAUCUUGAUUAAUUUUCUAUGAGCGGGCAGAAAAAGUUAUGGCAAAGCCAAUGAAGAAGAAAAGUAGUGUGCUCCUUCUUAGUAACUGGACUAGGGGAAUGACCUACGAACCGGCGAAUAAAUUUGGUAUAGGCAAGGUCCGCCUUUGGGUCAAAAUAUAUAGGCCUUAAAAUCAUCCACUCCAUAAGGGUUGUAGCCCAUCGAAAGGGUAACGCCGUGAGGACGAAUACCAAUUAUUGCUGCCACAUCCAAAAGAGUCGGUGUUGAAGGGUGCUGAUCUGAAAGGAAAAGUGUUGGAAACAGAGGACCAGAAGCACAAAGUCGCAGCUAGAAGAAGGUUGUCGGCCUGGAGAGAAGUUCUCGAAAGUUGGAUGGCUUCGUAAAUUCCAACAUUAUGCCAGAGAUCAGAAUAAGAUUCUUCGACUCACUCUAGCCACGCCAAGUAAGCGUCUAAAACGCUAGGCCAAGUUCGAAGACUUUUUCCUGAUGACUUCGAGGCAUACCAAGAAUGCAGAUGAAUGGCAUCAGCCAUUAAGGGAAGAGCAUUGGUCGAGAAAGGAAAAUUCUCAAGAGCAGGGGUCUCUACAAAAAAAAGCUGAGCACAAGUCGAGAAGGAUCCGAUUCGACAUAUGGCUUGAAGAGGCUAUAUUCAAGAAAAGGAGAUGAAAAAAGAGGAGGAAUCGGCACCAUAAAAAAAAAAAGAGGCGUGAGGAAGAGGAAUCUCAGAUUGAGGGACAGUUGUAAAGAUGAAGAGGUGUGAAAGAAGAAAUCUCAGAUGAAAAAGCAAGAGAAAGAGGAGAGGAAAACGAAGUGCAAAAGUAGCAAAGGAGCUGCCGGAUGAAAUUUUAAAAAAUAGUCUUAAUGGUGAAAAGGUGGUGGCCAUAAAUGACCUAAUUAAUGUCUCAAAAGGGACAAAAAGAACGUGGCAAAUCGUGACCGUCAAAAGUGAAAGGACGGCUGGGAGAAGUAAACGGUAUAAGGCGAUUUAAAAUGUUGACCUUGGAAUCCGAGCCCUUGGAGGAGAUUAUGCCAGCCACCGAACUGAUCAUUCGGAAGCUAUCGAGGGGGUAAUUGUUGGUGAAAAACAAAUCACGCCACAUGGUAAACCGGGAUACACCGCAAGCAUGGCCUUUGAAGCCAAGGACGAGUAACAUAUGGUGCGCCAGGAACAAAGAAGGAUUCACAGCAAAUCGUAAAGUAGUUAAAGGGUUAUGCGGUUAAGAUCGGCUAGUCAUGGCCCACGAAAUCAGGGAUGUGGUCGAUCAUGGGAAUAACUGAAUAAUAAUAGACAUAUUAUAAAUAGAUAUGAGACAUCUGACAAAGGGGUUUUUUUUCCUAUGAACGAGAAGACCAAUUUCUAUUCUCCCCUGCAUCUUUUCUUACUUUCUAGGAGUAGUCUACCUGUAAUCUUUUUUACUUUUCCUGCAUUUACUGCAUUUCCUAAGAGUAGUCCGUAGUUUAGAUUUUUCUCUGGGAUCAUACACUAUAGUGGCGCGCGUUCUUUUCUAUAAACAUUUCUCAAAUUUUGAGUAAUAUAAAAGCUUUUCGGCUCUUCAGCCGAACGGAAAGUACAGUGUUGUUCCCUUGACUCGGCUGAUCCAGUCGAACCGAACUUACUGCGCGAAACUUAACUCGGCUGAUCUGAUCCCUCAUCAGUCGAAUCGCUUGAUCUAAUAGUGGGCGCAAGUUUCGAGGGUCAUCAUUCGUAGCCAUUCUGCCUCCUCGCACACUUCCCGAAAAAGGGUUUUGACCGAGCCAGCGGUCAAAGAAAUUGGCUCGCGACACAUACAAAGUCAACAAAUAUACAAAUUCCAUGCAAAAAAUUAGGGAGGGAGGGCACAAAAAGUAAAUAGUGCAUAGGUGUUAAGAAGCUAUUGCAUAAAACUAAAGAAGGGAGCAUAACUUCUUGAAAAUUGUAGGAACUUAAAAACCAGAAGCUAAUAAUUAUAGUGUGAAAGGGAGGACACCAAAAAAAACAUCCAAAAAAAAAAGAGAGGAGGCAUAACACAAUAGCAAACCUUGCUAUAAAGACUUGGAGGAAAAGCUAGCAGUGGGAAAGCGAAACCUUACAGGCACUUAAGGCAGAAGGACAAAACAUUAAUUUUCGGACAUUUAAUAUACCUAUACAUAAUGGAAUAGUAUAAGAAAAAGUAGAAACAUAGAUUAUCUCUAAGCAGGCAAUAAAAAUAGAGCAAUAUUUAGGGCCUUACGAAAUAGUAGAAUCGUAGAAUCCUAGAGAGAAAAUAAAUGUACGAGUGAGAUGAGUAAUAUUUUAAAUAAGGAAUAUACCUUUGUGAGUAGGCAAUAAAAAUAAUGAAAAAUGUAGGGACCCAUAAAAGACACAACCAUUAGAAAGGUGUAGAGGAAGUUAAUACAUCAGUGAGAUGAGUAAUUAUUGAAAUGAAGAAUAUACCUUUUAGGUUAAGAGAGAUGACACUACUGUGCUAUAUCAAACAGUGAGCAGUAUUUAUAACCCCUGAAGCUGCCUUUAUGGAAAUGAUCAUCACAAAGCAAAGAGGAGAAGAAGAAAAAAGAAAGAGGAAAAUAAGUGGACUAUAAGUAAUGCUUAAUGAUUAUAGGCAAUCUCAUCACUAGCAAGUGGCCCAUAUGGGAAAAUCAUUCAAGAUCUUUGAUAGUAUAGUGCAAAUACUUUGCAGCAUCCAUACAAAUAUAAUAAUCAUUCAAUAAAUCAUUCAAUAAAAUCUAAAAAAAAUCUCAACAAAAUCAGGUGAUUCAUUUCAUUAUAAUAAUCACAAAAACCUUUAAAAAGUCUGUAAAAUAUCUUAAGAGAUCUAAAAAAGUCUGUGAAUAUCCACCGAAAAUAGGGUAGUUUUAGGGUGUUGCAACUAGUGGAUCCAUCCAUCCGUCGGUCGAAUCGGGUAGUAUGGAAAUUGGGAGAGGGGCGUUGGAGAAGGGAGACAUGGGAAAAGGUCAGGACAAUCACACCUCUAUUAUAGAUUAUCUUUGUAGGUAGUAGGGGCUAGGACACAGAGAGGAGCGAGAAUCACACCUGUAAUAUAGGUUGCCUUCGAAAGCAGAGGGCGCAAUGAGUUCACCAUGAUGUUCAAUCCGACUAUGGUCAUUAGAUUAACCGUCGUGAAGAGAGAAGGGGGAGGGGCCAAGAGAGCGUGGGAACGAGAGAGUAGAGAGGGAGAAGGACAAAUAAAGAAGAGAGAGACGAGUUGGUGUCAGAGAGGUGCAUAAUGAGAGAGAGAGAGAGAGAGAGAGAGAGAGAGAGAGAGAGAGUAAGUAUAGAGCUAGGGAGGGAGAGUCCUGUAUAGGAGGAAAGAGAGAGAAAUAGAGAGACGGCAGAGAG